GGGGGCAUAGCUCAGUUGGGAGAGCAGCAGACUGAAGUCAGUUUCUUCUGAAGGUCCCGUGUUCAAUCCGCGGUGCCCCCA
Non-coding RNA from Termitomyces sp. Mi166#008, 81 nucleotides. NCBI's taxonomy places the organism in Eukaryota, Fungi, Basidiomycota, Agaricomycetes, Agaricales, Lyophyllaceae. The record is from the annotation of a GenBank genome assembly.